AGCUGCAGUAGGUAGGGCUUAUUUGCCCUGCCUUGACCCAACUAUGGGCUGUAGGCUUCUAAGCUGUGUGGCCUUCUGCCUCUUGGGAGUAGGCCCUUUGGAGACGUCUGUUUUCCAGACUCCAAACUAUCGUGUCACACAGGUGGGAAAUGAAGUGUCUUUCAACUGUGAGCAAACUCUGGGCCACGAUACUAUGUACUGGUACAAGCAAGACUCUAAGAAAUUGCUGAAGAUUUUGUUUAGCUACAAUAAUAAGCAACUCAUUGUAAACGAAACAGUCCCAAGGCGCUUCUCACCUCAGUCUUCAGAUAAAGCUCAUUUGAAUCUUCAAAUCAAGUCUGUAGAGCUGGAGGACUCUGCUGUGUAUCUCUGUGCCAGCAGCUAA
Non-coding RNA from Mus caroli (Ryukyu mouse), 385 nucleotides. NCBI's taxonomy places the organism in Eukaryota, Metazoa, Chordata, Mammalia, Rodentia, Muridae. The record is from the annotation of a RefSeq genome assembly.